RNAcentral lists this ribosomal RNA (468 nucleotides) under uncultured bacterium. RNAcentral's name for it is "partial 16S ribosomal RNA". It matches the Rfam family "Bacterial small subunit ribosomal RNA", at positions 28 to 507 of the family's 1533-position model. The record is from RNAcentral.
GAUGAACGCUGACAGAAUGCUUAACACAUGCAAGUCUACUUGAAUUUGGGUUUUUUAACUUAGAUUUGGGUGGCGGACGGGUGAGUAACGCGUAAAGAACUUGCCUCACAGCUAGGGACAACAUUUGGAAUCGAAUGCUAAUACCUGAUAUUAUGAUUAUAAGGCAUCUUAGAAUUAUGAAAGCUAUAUGCGCUGUGAGAGAGCUUUGCGUCCCAUUAGCUAGUUGGAGAGGUAACGGCUCACCAAGGCGAUGAUGGGUAGCCGGCCUGAGAGGGUGAACGGCCACAAGGGGACUGAGACACGGCCCUUACUCCUACGGGAGGCAGCAGUGGGGAAUAUUGGACAAUGGACCAAGAGUCUGAUCCAGCAAUUCUGUGUGCACGAUGACGUUUUUCGGAAUGUAAAGUGCUUUCAGUUGGGAAGAAAAAAAUGACGGUACCAACAGAAGAAGUGACGGCUAAAUACGUG